UGCGCAACAGACCUUGAGAGGGAGAUCGGCCACAGUAGGAUUGAGACACGGCCCAGGCUCCUACGGGAGGCAGCAGUAGGRAAUCUUCCGCAAUGGAAGAAAGUCUGACGGAGCAACGCCGCGUGAGUGAUGAAGGUUUUCGGAUCGUAAAGCUCUGUUGUUAGGGAAGAACAAGUACCGUUCGAAUAGGGCGGUACCUUGACGGUACCUAACCAGAAAGCCACGGCUAACUACGUGCCAGCAGCCGCGGUAAUACGUAGGUGGCAAGCGUUGUCCGGAAUUAUUGGGCGUAAAGGGCUCGCAGGCGGUUUCUUAAGUCUGAUGUGAAAGCCCCCGGCUCAACCGGGGAGGGUCAUUGGAAACUGGGGAACUUGAGUGCAGAAGAGGAGAGUGGAAUUCCACGUGUAGCGGUGAAAUGCGUAGAGAUGUGGAGGAACACCAGUGGCGAAGGCGACUCUCUGGUCUGUAACUGACGCUGAGGAGCGAAAGCGUGGGGAGCGAACAGGAUUAGAUACCCUGGUAGUCCACGCCGUAAACGAUGAGUGCUAAGUGUUAGGGGGUUUCCGCCCCUUAGUGCUGCAGCUAACGCAUUAAGCACUCCGCCUGGGGAGUACGGUCGCAAGACUGAAACUCAAAGGAAUUGACGGGGGCCCGCACAAGCGGUGGAGCAUGUGGUUUAAUUCGAAGCAACGCGAAGAACCUUACCAGGUCUUGACAUCCUCUGACAAUCCUAGAGAUAGGACGUCCCCUUCGGGGGCAGAGUGACAGGUGGUGCAUGUGUUGUCGUCAGCUUCC
Molecule: ribosomal RNA, 795 nt
Filed under: Bacillus vallismortis
Lineage: Bacteria; Bacillati; Bacillota; Bacilli; Caryophanales; Bacillaceae
Description: bacterial SSU rRNA
Source: RNAcentral